Molecule: ribosomal RNA, 331 nt
Filed under: uncultured bacterium
Lineage: Bacteria
Description: bacterial SSU rRNA
Rfam family: Bacterial small subunit ribosomal RNA
Source: RNAcentral
AGAGUUUGAUCAUGGCUCAGGAUGAACGCUGGCGGCGUGCCUAACACAUGCAAGUCGAGCGAUUCUCUUCGGAGAAGAGCGGCGGACGGGUGAGUAACGCGUGGGUAACCUGCCCUGUACACACGGAUAACAUACCGAAAGGUAUGCUAAUACGGGAUAACAUAAGAAAUUCGCAUGUUUUUCUUAUCAAAGCUCCGGCGGUACAGGAUGGACCCGCGUCUGAUUAGCUAGUUGGUGAGGUAAUGGCUCACCAAGGCGACGAUCAGUAGCCGACCUGAGAGGUGAUCGGCCACAUUGGAACUGAGACACGGUCCAAACUCCUACGGGAGCA